This is a long non-coding RNA of Xenopus laevis (African clawed frog), 1660 nucleotides long. RefSeq lists it as uncharacterized. The record is from RefSeq and is a predicted model, not a curated record. The transcript has 3 exons. NCBI's taxonomy places the organism in Eukaryota, Metazoa, Chordata, Amphibia, Anura, Pipidae.
CCCAUUUGGAUACCUAUUACAUACAGGCUUCUCACAUUGGGUUACAAAAGAACCAACAUUAAAACAAAAAGGGAAAGAAUUGCAACAACAUGUCCCAAUGAAAUGUACAAUACACAUACAUACAUACACCUAAUGAUAGUUAUUUAAAGAAACAUGCAACCUCAAAAUCACGGUUGAGACACAUAUAUUGGAUAUGGGCCAAACCUCCCGUUCGCAUUAGAGAACAUAUUCUGGAUAUAAAGAAAGGGAACUCAAACUCCAAUGUAGCUAAACAUUUUCAGGAUUGCAAUGGUGGGGAUAUCACCAAACUAGCUGUUAUAGGUAUAGACAAAGCAGUAAAGGGGAAAUGGGAUGGAGACAUUAUACCAAAACUACUUUGUUUAGAGACCAAGUGGAUUUUUUUUUUUAAAAUUUCUUUCUUUAUUUUUUUCUCAUACAAAAAGAAAAAAAGAACAAAUUAAACAAUACACAAAAUAAGGGGGGGAAAGGGUACAAAAAAUAAAUACAAGGGGGCGUUGGGGAGGUGGUGUAUUAGUCAUAUAUCCCACUGUUCAUAACCACUUCGACGUUUAUUCCGUAUAUGUUCUCCAUACAUAUUUUCUUUUGCUAACUGCUACUUUAUUCUCCUCUUGUUUUUCAAUUUUGAUCUAAUGAUUCCCUAAAUCUGUACCACGGGGUCCAAAUCUUCCAAUAAAUUACACUGUUACUAUGAUAUAAAUACGUUAACUCCUCUAGCUGUCUUAUUUCUUCUACUGAUCUCAUCCAUUCGUUAAAUGAGGGCGGUUCCUUGGAUUUCCAAUGUUUUGGGAUUAGGGAUUUAGCUACUUGAAUAAGAUAAAAGGUAAGUGUAUCAUCUAGUAUCUUGUAGUUCUCCAAAUUUACAUUUAGUAACAUUGUUACUUGGUCUUCCAUCUGUACCUUAACUGAUGUGAUUAUUUUUACGCUUUCUAAUAUUUGUUCCCAGUAAUCCUUCAGUUUAGGGCAGGUUAACCACAUAUGUAAAUGAUUUCCAACUUUAUCGUUGCAUCUCCAGCACCCGUGAUGCUUUUGUGGGUAUAUUUUAUUUAGCCUUGCUGGGGUUAGAUGCCACCUUGUGAUUAUUUUAUAGAUUGCUUCUUUCAUUUUUGACGCCCUGGCUUUUUUGUUUCCUUUCUUAAAAAUAUUCACCCACAUUUGUUCUGGUAUAUUGACUCCCAGUUCUUUCUCCCAGGAGCGACAAAACGAUGGUAAUUUAUAUUCACCUGAAUUGAGAAGAAUAUCGUAUACCUUUGAGAGAGGUUUCAUCAGGUCUGGGUACAAACCCUGCUUGAUCCUGAUGAAUAAUUGAGGCUUGGAGCCCAAGGCUAUCAAAUAGCCUCUUAAGACGCAUUUUACAGUUUCCCAUAAAGUUGACGAUGAUAUUUCUGGUGUUAAAUUGUUUGUUACUAUUUGUUUAAUCCAUUUAUGUAUCAUAUCCUUAUUGUCUGCGUUAUGUAAUAGAAAUUCAUUUAAUCGCCAAUUAAAUUCUGGUUUAAUUACUCCUGGUAUCAUAUAUUUCGUGAUUACCGGUGCAUGAUCUGAUGUUAAUGAUGUGGCUAUAUCGGCUUUUUGGAAUAAAUGUGCCCAUUGUUGUGAUACCAUUAUGUAAUCUAUUCGUGAAUAAACCUGAUAUUGCUUUGAA